This 472-nucleotide ribosomal RNA is filed under the name uncultured bacterium. RNAcentral describes it as "bacterial SSU rRNA". It matches the Rfam family "Bacterial small subunit ribosomal RNA", at positions 355 to 825 of the family's 1533-position model. The record is from RNAcentral.
UGGGGAAUAUUGGACAAUGGGCGAAAGCCUGAUCCAGCCAUGCCGCGUGUGUGAAGAAGGUCUUCGGAUUGUAAAGCACUUUAAGUUGGGAGGAAGGGCAGUUACCUAAUACGUAUCUGUUUUGACGUUACCGACAGAAUAAGCACCGGCUAACUCUGUGCCAGCAGCCGCGGUAAUACAGAGGGUGCAAGCGUUAAUCGGAAUUACUGGGCGUAAAGCGCGCGUAGGUGGUUUGUUAAGUUGGAUGUGAAAUCCCCGGGNUCAACCUGGGAACUGCAUUCAAAACUGACAAGCUAGAGUAUGGUAGAGGGUGGUGGAAUUUCCUGUGUAGCGGUGAAAUGCGUAGAUAUAGGAAGGAACACCAGUGGCGAAGGCGACCACCUGGACUGAUACUGACACUGAGGUGCGAAAGCGUGGGGAGCAAACAGGAUUAGAUACCCACGUAGUCCCUGAGCGGGCUGGCAAGGCGCAU